ACCAAGUUCAAGCAUGAUUUUAAAGAGUAAUAGUGUUAAGUUAAUUAAUCCUAAUGAAGCUUAGAAACCUUCCUAUAUAAAGCAGUAAUGGGGAUCUGUAGUCUCAGAAAUAACCGAAAGGAAUUCUCCAUAAUUCUGGGUGGUUGAUGGGAUGACUGUUACCAUGUUCUUGUUGUACUUGUUUGGAUUUGUCCUAUUGCCUAAGACAUGGUAAGGUGGGUUUUAGGAUUUCUAAAGUUAUUUACCUGUCAGGAUCUAGAUGCCUAGACCACUUUGUACAUCUAUGACCCCUCUGUCUCACUGAGGGAAAGAAGAAUCUGAGACCAUAUUUUGUGACUUAUAAUACUUUUCUAAUUCUGUGAUGUACUUUUCAAAUACUUCUGGAUCAGUUGAGAGUGAGCAUGUGCAUUCUGAAUCCAGUAUUCUUAACCAGUUAAUGUAUGCAGCUACUCCCUCCCCUAAAAACCUCAGUUUCACAUAUUUAUAAAACUAAUCUUGUGGGUGUGAUUACCUGCACUACGGAACUUUUCCUUCUCAAAAGUGUCUUAGUCUUUUUUCAUUUGAAGAGUAUAAAGUUCUUUCUGUAUCUAAAAAUCCUGGUCAUUUUCUUUGGGGAAAUAAUUCUAUACUGCAAAUGGAUCCUUUCAGGAGCAGUAAAAUCUAAAAGGAUAAAUAUGUGCAUAAAUAAUAAUUUCAAGACAUAGAAUUAUAACUUCUUUAAUGAUCUACAGUAUAAAAAGAAUUCAGGGCAGGGAAAACUACUUUCAGCUGAGGAAAUGAGAUGUCCAGAGAAUGUAACAUUUUACCUUAAGGAAUAUGUAAAAUUGAGCUAUAUGGAGAUAGGGAUCAGGGGUAGACUCCAGUCCCUGGAAUACAGAUAGCACAAGCAGUGGAACAUAGAGGUGUGUAAAGUGAUGGUGAUACGAUAUUUGAUAUGAAAUGUAUGAAAAAUACUAACCUUACGUAUUAGUCAAAGGAGUUGAAAAUAGUUGGUAGCUGGGAAAUAGUUUGAGUUGGGGAAAAAAAUAAAACCUGUUGUUCAGGAAGGUUCAUCUGGCUGUAGCAUAUAAGAAUAUUGAAAGGAGCUAGAGAACAGAGAAACCAAUUAGAUUUUUUUGUAAUCUAGCUGAAUGUGUUAAGGGUCUGAGUGAGGGUAAUGGAAGUCAGACUAGUGGGACAUCUGUUACUCAAGAAGAACUGGUAAUAAUUGUCAGUAAAUUGAAUGGCAGUAGCUGGGGGAGGAUGGGUAUUCAUUUACCAACAAGAUGUUUAGGUAUAGAUGUUUAGCAUGCAAAUGAACAGAUGAGGUUAGAGUGUUAGAGAGAAACAGAAUUGGAAAUAAAUUCAUAUAGGGGGUAAAUAUAAACUCUGAAAUUGGUCAUCGCUGAGCAAGGUUGGUAGAGAAGACAGAAAGGUUGGAUCAGGUUUAUUUUAAAAUGGAAAAGUAUUAAUGAGUGGAAAGGAAGACUCUAGAGAGAUAAAGGGUUAAGAUGCAAGAGAAGACUAUUUCAUGAAUCAAAGAAACUGGAUAGAUGAACAAGUAGAAAAGUAACUUGAAGGAAGACAGAAUAGCUGUGGAAACAUUGAGUAUAAAAGAAAAAAACCUCCACAAUUUGGGGUUAAUGAAUGUUAAUUAAUGAAUUAGAUAAUUUUAGAAGUAGGUUUUCUCUCCAAAACAAAUGAUUACUUUCAGGUAUACAUUAGUACCUUGAGAGUGUUUACAAAAGUUGUCCUGUUAGUGUACUUGAGAAAAAUGUCUUAAUGAUUACAUAAUAGUGAUAAUGAUACCUGUAUAUGUAAAGACUUUAUUUUGUAAUUCUCAGGGUUUCCUGAGAAGUUAUCUCCUUUCCUCUUGUGUGCAUCUUUGAUUCUGUUCUCUGCCUGCUCCCAACUGAAUUAGUCACCAAGUGGUACCUUCUAAUUUGAAGGUAGCUAAACAUGACUUUUUAUAUCUAAUUUAUUAUUUUCAAAAUCCCACCUUCUCACAGCUGUAGGUUGGUACAGAUCCUUAUCAUUUCUUUCACGCAUUAUUGUAUUAGUCUCCUUUUGGUUUUGUCAGUAUACCUGGAAUUGAUCAGGUGGGCUAACUCAAGCCAGUAUGGCAGAAAUGAAUGUCAUUUAAUCAUUGAUGAUCAAAACAUUACUGUCAAGAAUUGCCCAGAAUUGCUUAUCUUACUUUUCCUUAAAGUAAUCUUGGGAAAACGAGUUAUAAUUGUAAAGUUACUUCAUUAGUGAACCUGACAUCAGAACAAGGACAAUUAGUUAGGUCAUGUUUAAAGAUUAUCGCCAUGUUGGGGCACCUGGGUGGCUUAGGCAGCUCAGCUUCCAACUCUUGAUUUCUUCUCAGGUCGUGAUCCUCAGGGUCAUGAGAUCUAGGUCAUGAUAUCAAGCCUGGUGUAGGACUCCACGCCCAGUUUAAGAUUCUCUCUCUCUCUCACUGCCCCUCCCCUGCUCUUGUGUGCAGGCACUCACCCUGUCUCUCAAAAAAAAAAAAAAAAAAAAAAAAGAUUAUCACCAUCUUGAUAAUGUUCUUUUUCUUUCUGUAUAAUGCAGUUGAUUGCUUUCUUAGCAGCUUCCUUCCACAUUAAUUUAUAGUCCUGUGUUUGCAGGAACUAUGUCCCAGUUACCUUGAUGACUAAACUUGGAGUUAGAAACCAUGUCUUAUGGUGAGCCCUUUCUAUAGAUGGCCUGUAUUACUUGUUUCACACUCAGAGGGUCAUUUUAUUUAAGGAUCUGUGGGUGUAUGUAUGUGCCUAUUGACAGGUGGUAUUUUUGUAUAAUAAUCAUUAGGUAUUUGGAAUUAUACUUCUCAGACUGUUUGGCAUUAUGCUUGUAAUGUUAGGAGAAACUAAUAUAUUCAUUCAAAAGAUGUAUAAAAAAUUAUAUUCAAAGUUGUUGUUGGAUGUGUCAAGAUUUAGGAGACCAAAAUUAAAAAAAAAUUUUUUUUUAAUGUUUAUUUAUUUUUGAGAGAGAGAUAGAGAUAUAUAUAUAUAGAGAGAGAGAGGCAGGAAGGGGCACAGAGAGAGGGAGACACAGAACCUGAAGCAGGCUCCAGGCUCCGAGCUGUCAGCACAGAGCCUGACGCGGGGCUCGAACCCACGAACUGUGAGAUCAUGACCAGAGCAGAAGUCGGACACUUAAUCGACUGAGCCGCCCAGGCGCCCCAGAGACCAAAAAUUUUUAAUCCAUGUUGGCAGUAAUAGGAAAUCUGAUUUUCUACAGACCAGGUCCUAAAGAAAUUAUAGAAAGAAAAUAAAUCAGUGUAAAGAAGAUAGGAAAGACAUGAGGGAAGAUAAUAAUUUGAAACAAAGUAGAUCUUUAAAAGCAAGUAGAGGGGCACCUGAAUGGCUCUGUCCGUUAAGCAUCUGACUCUUGAUUUCAGCUCAGGUCAUGAUCUCACGGUUCGAGAGAUCAAGCCCCACAUUGGCUCCAGCACAGAGCAUGCUUGGGAUUCUCUCUCUCCCCCUCUGUGCCCCUCCCCCAUUUGCUCUCUCUCUAAAAAAUAAAAAAUAAUGAUACAAAAAACAAGUAGAAAUUUUAGGUAUGGAAAACUGUAACAGUCAAAGUAAAGAACACAAUAGAUAGGACAAAUAACAGUGGAUACAGUGAACAACAAAAUAAUUAAUGGGUUUUAUACAUAUUUAAAAUAAAAACUAUAUAGUAUGGAGGAUAGAAGUAGAAUCCAGGUAACAGGAGCUCCAGAAAGGGAGAGAGAGAAAAAUGGAGAGGAGGAAAUAACCUGAAGAAAUAAUGGAAAUAAAUUUCAUUUAAAAAAAAAAAAAAAAAAAAAAAAGAUGAGAUAUCUUAGUUUGAAGUGGCACAUAGUGGGCCUAAGAAAAAAGAGUGAAGGAAAAAUUCUCAUCUAGACACAUUAUAGGGGAAAUUUUAAAAUAUCACAGACAAGGAAAGGAUUCUAAAACAUGGACUAUUAAGAUGAAGUCUUUCUUGGAGACUACAUAAAAAUAACUUCAGUUCUAAGGAGGUGGUGCAAGAUAUGAAAUGUCUAGAUUUAACAGAGCUAAUUGUCAUAGCAAAAAAAAUUGAAAAUACUGGGAGUAUAAAGAUUACAGUUACAUUUCUUGUAGCACCUCCUGGAUUCAAUUAUUAAAUGGUAUUUAGGUAGCUUACCUAACAACUUGGAAAUAUAUCCGUGAUAGGUCUUCCCUGACCCCAACAAAUUGUAUGUAUACUGUGUAUAAUAAUGUAUACAUGGCACAAAGGAUUAUCAGUUUCUUAUUGUUUUCAUGGUGCUCAAAUUCUAUUGGAAGAGUCAGAAAUAUAAGUGAAUAAUUGCAGAAUAAAAAGUUAGGCAAAAUUAUCAUGGCGAUUAUGUUAAAAGAAUAGAUUUGAGAGUAGUUUUUUUCUUGUCUUCAUUUUUAAAAAUUGAUUAUGGUCAUUACUUAUAUGUUUUUAUUUAAAUCAUAGAUAACCUUUAAUGAAGAAUGGGAAAUGGGUUUUAAUAGCUGCCACAUCUAAUAAGAUUAUGUUCUUCAUUUUAAUUAGCAAUUUAUUUUUUCCUACUAAGCCUCCCUUUCAAUUUUCUUAAGCUAAAGAAACAGUAAAAAAAAAAAAAAAAAAAAAUCACUGUGUAACGUACUCAAUGAUGUUUGUUAUCUGGGCUUAUGAUUGAUAAUAACUUCAGUAAGUCUUUUUUCGUCUUAGUUGAAAUAUGUCCUUCAUUAACCUGACCACCUAUAUUUUUAUCCUUAUCUGAGCUAAGUGUUUCUAGAGAAUACAAUUUACGUCAUGUACACAUGCAUAUCAUUAUAGAUUUGUGAUACUAGCCUUCACUGACAUUUAAAUUGCUUGGCAGUGUUAAUACGAAUCUCUAGGAAACUCUCUUUUUGCCAUGAUUGUUUGUAUUUUAAAACUUUUACUGCCAGUUAAAAUUGCAUCUUUUAGUCCCCCAAUUCUGCAAACCUACUUGGUUUGUAUCCAUCCUCUUUUCUUUCUCUCCAGUCCUGCUUGCAGUGCAAGGCUAGUCUGUACUUGUGCUCCACAUCUCACCCUUCUGUGCCCUCUCAGAGGCCUUGUCAUGUUAGUCUCCUUACCCUCUCACCCUCACUUUUCUUUCCCAUCUACAUCUAAGCAUUCUCUCCUGUCCAUCCUCUUGAACAAAAGAACCCAAACUCCUUUAAUCACACAUUGCUGUUCAUGUGCCUACCCCUUAAACUGUUCUACCUCCACUCACUCGUUUAAGAUUUUCUCUUUGUUCUGGGUGGUAUGUCUAGAUGUGAUUUUAUUCUUCUUAGGACCUCUUUGCUUCCUAAUUGAGAGAAUUCUUUUUUUUUUUUUUUUAAAUGUUUAUUUUUGAGAGAGUGAGAAUGGGGGAGGGGCAGAGAGCGAGGGAGACACAGAAUCCAAAGCAGGCUCCAGGCUCUGAGCUGUCAGCACAGAGCCUGACACAGAGCUCAAACCCAUGAACUGUGGGUUCAGAUCAUGACCUGAGCCAAAGUCAGACACUUAACCCACUGAACCCACCCAGGUGCCCCAAGAGAAUUCAUGUCUUUUGUCAGUUCUGGACACAACUCUAGCCAUUACAUUUUAAAGUAUUUUUAUAUUUUUAUUUUUAUUUUUAUUAUUUUUAUUUUUAUUGUAGAGAGAGCACAUGCAAGCAGGGGGAGAGGAGCAGAGAGAGAGAGAGAGACAGAGAGAGACAGAGAGAGAGAGAGAGAGACACUCUUAAGCAGGCUCCAAUGCUUAGUGUGGAGCCCAAUGUGGGGUUUCAUCCCAUGAACCUGGGGUCAUGACCUGAACCCAACUCAGGAGUCGGAAGUUCAACCAACUGAACCACCUAGGUGCUCCUAUGGCCAUUUAAAAUAGUGAUCCUCCCUAUUCUUUCUGUUCUUCAGUAACUUUUGUUAGACAUAUUUGGACUUUGAUUCUGUCUUCCAUGUCCCUUAACCUUUCUUUUAUAAUUUCCAUUUAUCAAUCUCUCUGUGCUCUAGCAGGAUAGUAGUUUUUAGGUUUUAUUAAUUUAUUUCGAGGGAGAGAGAGAGACAGCGAGUGAGCAGGGGAGGGGCUGAGAGAGUCCAAGAGAGAAUCCCAAGCAGGCUCUGCACUAAUAGUGCAGACUUGGGGCUGACUUGGGGCUCGAUUUCAGGAACCGUGAGAUCAUGACCUGAGCUGAAAUCAAGAGUCUGACGCUUAACCAACCAUCCACUCAGGUGCCCCUGGGUAAUUUCUUUUGAUCUUUUAUAUUCACUCAUUAUCUCUUCAGCUAUACUGAUUUAUAAUUUUACCUGCCUAAUGGGUAAAGAUUUUUAGUGAAUAUGCUUUCCAAUUUUUAGAAUUCUUUAAAAAAAAAAAUUUUUUUUUUUUUUAACAUUUAUUCAUUUUUGAGAGGCAGAAAGAGACAGAGCAUGAGUGGGGAAGGGGCAGAGAGAGGGAGACACAGAAUCAGAAGCAGGCUCCAGGCUCUGAGCUGUCAGCACAGAGCCCAACGCAGGGCUCUAACUCACGAACCGUGAGAUCAUGACCUGAGCUGAGGUCGGACGCUCAGCUGACUGAACCAUCCAGGUGCCCCUCAAUUUUUAGAAUUCUUUUUGGUCCUUUCUAAAAUGGAUCUGGUCUGAUUUUGCUUUUCUCUUUCUUGUUUUUAAGAACAUGUAGCACUUUUCUCACAUGUAAAAUAUUUUUAUUUUCAAACAGUCUCAAACUUACAGAAAAGUUACAUAGAGUAUAAUAUACAGAACUGUAUCUUCCUAGAGUAUUUGAGAAUAAGUUGCAGAUACAGUGCCACAUUAGCCCUGAAUACUUCAGUCUUUAUUUUUAAAAUUUUAUUGUUAUUUUUGUAAUGUUUAAUUUUGAGAGAGAGAGAGCAUGAGCAGGGGAGGAACAGAGAUAGAGGGAGACAUAGAAUCUGAAGCAGGCUUCAGCACAGAGCCUGAUGCAGGGCUAGAACUUGUGAACCGGGAGAUUAUGACCUGAGCUGAAGUCAGACACUUAACCGACUGAGCCACCGAGGUGCCCUGAAUACUUUAGUUUUUAUAGACAAGGACAUUUUACUGUAAAAUCACAAUACAGUGAUCAAGAACAGGAAAUUAAUAUCACUAUAUUACUACCAUCUACUCGUCAGAUGGCCAUUCAAGUUUUGACUGUUGUCUCAGAAUUUUACAGGUUAGUUAUUUUUGGGUUUGGUUCAUUUUUUUUUCAUUAUUAGAGCUGUGUUAUUUAUUUAUUUAUUUUGGAGCGGGAUAUCAUAGAUGUGAUCUUUCCAUUGCAUCUAUCAGAUGACACAUACUCAGGCAUUUCCAAUGAAAAGGUUUUCUUUUCCUCUUUGUAAUUAUGUAUAUUGUGGAAUUAAGUAUGAGACUAUAAAUAUCCCAUUUCUCAUCAUACUUUUAAUUUGUAUCAGUGUGGACUUACAGAUUUGUGUGGGGGUAUGAUGUAUUUAUUGUGAUGCUCAAAUUGUUCACACUUUAGCUAGUGGGAGCCCCUUUAAGCUGGCACAGUUGUCCCCAUUCAUUAUUCUUUGAACACUUAUUUUCUGGCAUUGCAAGUAUAUUAGUCUUCUGUUGCUGCCAUAACAAAUUACCACAAAAUUAGCAACUUACAGGCACUCAGAUUUAUUAGCACAUAGUCAGAUGUCUGGGUUUGGUUAUCUGGUUGCUCUGUUAGAGUCGCACAAGGCUAAAACCAAGGUGUUGGCCAGCUGGGCUCUUACUAUCAGGAGACUCUGGAAUUCAUUCACUUCCAAGAAGCUCAUUUAGGUUGUUGGCAGAAUUCAGAUUUUUCCUUGCAGUUGCAGGACUGAGGUCAUCAUUUCCUUUCUGACUGACAGCUGAGGGUCUCCCUUAGCUCCUCGAGGCUUCUAUCCCAUCCUUUCACAUGUCCCUACAUUUUAGAGUCGGCAAAGGUGAGUUGAAUCCUUUGCACACUUAGAAUCGCUCUGACUUCCUCUUCUGUUGUAUCUCUCUUGUUUUCUCAGCUAUUACAUCUCUCACUGACUCUUUUGGCCUUUGUCUUCUAUUUUUAAGGGUUCAUGUGAUUACUCUGGGCCUACCUACAUAAUCCAAGAUAAUCCACCUGUUUUAAGGUCGGCUAAUCAGUACCUUAAUUUAAUCUGCCAAGUCUCUUCACAGUAGUGCCUUGAUUAAGGGAACCUUGGGAUGGAAGGUGGACAUCAUUAGAAUUCUGCCUAGCACAGCAGGAUAUGUCAGGUGCCUUUUUUUAUAGAGAGAGGGUUGUUUCUUUCUUACACUUGUGAGUCCUUGGCUUAGUCAUUUAGUUUCUUAGUCAUUUGAAAUAUUUGUCUUAUCUUUAUUUGCUCUAUUUUCUUUCUAAGGUUCUUGGAAUAACAGUCAAAUAAUGUUUGUGUCUGCUAGUUUGUGAUCAAGGGGAUUGUUUUCAUCUGUGUUUUCUAAUUGUGGAUUGUGAACUCAUUUUAUAGCCUGAAUUGAGGUUAUAUCCCUUCAGAGAGGUUUUGUGUUUGCUUCCGCUGUGUACUCAAGUGACAGUACCAGCUGGCCCCGUCUUACGUUAAUUUAAUGUUUGGGAUCUAUCAGACUAGGCACAUAUGUAAAUUCAAACCCAAAACCUGGGGCGCCUGGAUGGCUCACUCAGGAGUGUUUGACUCCUGAUUUCGGCUCAGGUCAUAAUCCCAGUGUCAUGGGCUCAAGCCUUGCCUCGGGCUCUGCACUGAGCAUGGAGCCUGCUUAAGAUUCUUUCUCUCCCUCUACCCCUCUCCCUAGCUCACUCGCUCUCGUUCUCUCUCUAAAAUUAACUCAAAAA
Panthera uncia (snow leopard) is the source of this 8733-nucleotide long non-coding RNA. RefSeq lists it as uncharacterized. The transcript has 2 exons. NCBI's taxonomy places the organism in Eukaryota, Metazoa, Chordata, Mammalia, Carnivora, Felidae. The record is from RefSeq and is a predicted model, not a curated record.